CCUACGGGAGGCAGCAGUGGGGAAUCUUGCGCAAUGGGCGAAAGCCUGACGCAGCAACGCCGCGUGCGGGAAGAAGGCUUUCGGGCUGUAAACCGCUUUCAGCAGGAACGAAAAUGACGGUACCUGCAGAAGAAGGAGCGGCCAACUAUGUGCCAGCAGCCGCGGUGAUACAUAGGCUUCAAGCGUUGUCCGGAUUUAUUGGGCGUAAAGAGUUCGUAGGCGGUCGAGUAAGUCGGGUGUGAAAAUUCUGGGCUCAACCCAGAGACGCCACCCGAUACUGCUUAACUUGAGUUCGAUAGGGGAGUGGGGAAUUCCUAGUGUAGCGGUGAAAUGCGCAGAUAUUAGGAGGAACACCGGUGGCGAAGGCGCCACUCUGGAUCGAUACUGACGCUGAGGAACGAAAGCAUGGGUAGCAAACAGGAUUAGAUACCCUGGUAGUCCAUGCCGUAAACGGUGGGCACUAGGUGUGGGAUUCUAUUAACGAAUUCCGCGCCGUCGCUAACGCAUUAAGUGCCCCGCCUGGGGGAGUACGGUCGCAGACUAAACUACAAGAAGUAGUAGCGNGNGAGACGCGACGACGACGACGAGGAGGAGG
RNAcentral lists this ribosomal RNA (595 nucleotides) under uncultured bacterium. Its description in RNAcentral is "bacterial SSU rRNA". It matches the Rfam family "Bacterial small subunit ribosomal RNA", at positions 338 to 944 of the family's 1533-position model. The record is from RNAcentral.